Molecule: unclassified non-coding RNA, 345 nt
Filed under: soil metagenome
Description: partial contains 5.8S ribosomal RNA, internal transcribed spacer 2, and large subunit ribosomal RNA
Rfam family: 5.8S ribosomal RNA (bases 1-120)
Source: RNAcentral
GAUGAAGAACGCAGCGAAAUGCGAUACGUAAUGUGAAUUGCAGAAUUCAGUGAAUCAUCGAGUCUUUGAACGCACAUUGCGCCCCCUGGUAUUCCGGGGGGCAUGCCUGUCCGAGCGUCAUUGCUGCCCUCAAGCACGGCUUGUGUGUUGGGCCUCCGUCCUCCUCCCGGGGGACGGGCCCGAAAGGCAGCGGCGGCACCGCGUCCGGUCCUCGAGCGUAUGGGGCUUCGUCACCCGCUCUUGUAGGCCCGGCCGGCGCUUGCCGACACAUCAAUCUUUUUUCCAGGUUGACCUCGGAUCAGGUAGGGAUACCCGCUGAACUUAAGCUUAUCAAUAAGCGGAGGA